RNAcentral lists this ribosomal RNA (253 nucleotides) under uncultured bacterium. RNAcentral describes it as "partial 16S ribosomal RNA". It matches the Rfam family "Bacterial small subunit ribosomal RNA", at positions 524 to 776 of the family's 1533-position model. The record is from RNAcentral.
GACAGAGGGUGCAAACGUUGUUCGGAAUUACUGGGCGUAAAGCGCGUGUAGGCGGCCAUGCAAGUCGGACGUGAAAGCCCUCGGCUCAACCGGGGAAGUGCACUCGAAACUGCAAGGCUAGAGUCUCGGAGAGGAUCGUGGAAUUCUCGGUGUAGAGGUGAAAUUCGUAGAUAUCGAGAGGAACACCGGUGGCGAAGGCGGCGAUCUGGACGAUGACUGACGCUGAGACGCGAAAGCGUGGGGAGCAAACAGG